CCUUGCUACAGCUUGGGAGAUGCCCCUGUAACUCAGGGUCCACAUCUGGCCAAAACCUGCUGGAUCGGAGGGGGACCUGGAUUCAGACGGAGACUGGAAGACCGAAGGGCUGGGGCAGAGAACGGCAGACGGAUGACAAAGAAAGGAUUUGUCCUCUUCUCUCUGCAGUGCUCAUGAGCUGGCAGGGAGCAAGAGGGAGGUGCAUGCUGUGAUCCUGCUCCUGACGCAGCUCUUCUGCCAUACGGGAAGCCUAAGAGGACAGUAAGAAAUUGGCUGUCAGCACAGACUAUUCAUACUAAGCCCUGGAAGUUAAGCUAUAGAGCCCUGAUGGCAUAUGAGAAAAAGUACAGAUUCUGUACAUCUGUUCUUUGUGGCACAGCGUGGCUUUCUAAAGGCCUGAUCCAAAGAAAUGGAAUGGAAAUAAUCUGGUUUACUUUCUGGAUCAGGCCUGAAGGCAGGUGUUUUUGUGCUUGCUGAUUGUACUAGAAGAGUGUAAAGCGUUUCCCCAGUCUGUGAUUAAGUCAGUCAUUUCUGGCUUCAGUGACACUCCUUUUGCCUAGAGACAUUCCAAACUUUAUGCCUUCUAUCCCCCCUGGAGAGAAGGUAAAUCCGAACAUACCAUAGAUUUCAGGUGAAGAUAUUGUAAGAAUAAGCAGUAACUGAAGGCACAAGGGAGACAAACAAAGUUCAACCUCUUCAGGCAGAAAUGCUGUGCAUUAAAUCUCCGGCUAUUGAUGUGCUAGUUGCCUGCUCAACACUCUUCUGUCCUCCUUGCUGAUUAUGAAGGGGGUUAACUGGGUAGAGGGAAGUGGCCCUGUAUUUCCUCAGAAGCAUGAUAGAUAUUAUGAAAUGGGCUUCAGGAUUCAGCAUUUCAGUUGUACGUGCUGCCACUAGUGAAAAGCCGAACGUCUCGUGACUUGGGGAGGAAGGGAAAGGAAAGAAGGGUACAAUGAAGGGGAAAUGGAAGUAUUCUUUAGGUGCUAUCAGCGGUGCAAAAGAUCUCUCUGUUAAGACUGGAUUCCCUGUUUUAUUUCCCAACUCAAAUUAACGUGGCUGUAUUGAUGCACAAAUGAGGUGAUACGCACGCUGCUCUUGAGGGGUGCAAAACACUACGGAAGCGCUACGGUUUAUGACAACGAACUGCAGAAUUAAGCGGUGGGUGCGAGAAUGUGAGACAUAUCCCGUCGGCUUCCUGGUUUCAUCAUUAAGGACAGGGGUGGAACUUACAUCAGACAUGGCCUUCUUCGCUCUCUCGUCCGCUGCCCGGUACUCGCUGAUGAUCUCCUCGUGUUCAUUUGUGAUGCGCAGGAGGUCAGACUCCAGUUUGCGCUUUAUCACCAACAGGCUUUGGUUCUGGAAAGGGAAGAAAAGACUCAGGAACCCAGCAAACCCCAGCUCCUCUCCUAGGAGCCCUUGUACUUGGCCUUGAAGCAGAUGAUUUGCACUUUGAUUUGCACAGAGAAUUUGCUUUCUUUUCUAUUAGGCAGUUAUAUGUUGUUAAAGGGAGUGCGCUUUAUCCAGGGUUUAAAGUCACUGACCUUACCCCAGGUACAUAGAUGGCCUUCCAGGCUGAGUUAUUUGUAUAUCAGAAUGCUUUUGUCUACUAGUGUCUUGAGUUGUGGUUCAGCUUCAUUGAAUUUGUGUGCAUAGAUGAGUGUGUAUUAUUAUUUCAAAACUAGGUUGCAGAAGAAUCCACUGGCCAAAGUUGUGGCUGAGGAUCCCUUCUGGUAGGCAGUCUACAGAUAUACAAAAGACAUAGCCCCUGCCCCAGAGAGCUUCUAGCAUAUAGUUAUUUGGGCUUCAUGGGACAUCUGAAUCCCUUUAGUUGAUUUAAUUCUCACUGUCUGCUAUCAUUUACUUUAGGAUUAGGUAAUAUCAUGUUUGGGUAUUUUUUAUAAACAGCCCAAAUACUAAGAUCUCUACAGUUAAAAAUAUCCCUAUGAAAAGAAACACGUUGUAUAGAUUUGCAGGUUCUUCAUUCACACAUCAGUGUCAGGUUUGUGUGUCAAUGUGCCGCACAGGGCGAUACAUGUUCUGCGUGGUAUUGGUUUGAUAGGAUAAGCAACCAGGAAAAGAAAACAUAGCAUGGAAACAGCAGCUUAGCUGCCAGAAAUGUAGUCUUUCGUCAUCCCUCAGUUACGAGUAAGUGUAUGAGCUGUAUUUUUAUUAUCUGAAUAAAAAUAGCAUUAUAACUCAA
Alligator mississippiensis (American alligator) is the source of this 2197-nucleotide long non-coding RNA. RefSeq lists it as uncharacterized. The transcript is spliced from 2 exons. The record is from RefSeq and is a predicted model, not a curated record. NCBI's taxonomy places the organism in Eukaryota, Metazoa, Chordata, Crocodylia, Alligatoridae.